UACGUAGGGUGCGAGCGUUGUCCGGAAUUAUUGGGCGUAAAGGGUGCGUAGGCGGCGCGGUAAGUCGGGUGUGAAAUUUCGAGGCUUAACUUCGAAACUGCAUUCGAUACUGCCGUGCUAGAGGACUGGAGAGGAGACUGGAAUUUACGGUGUAGCGGUGAAAUGCGUAGAUAUCGUAAGGAAGACCAGUGGCGAAGGCGGGUCUCUGGACAGUUCCUGACGCUGAGGCACGAAGGCCAGGGGAGCAAACGGG
Molecule: ribosomal RNA, 253 nt
Filed under: uncultured bacterium
Lineage: Bacteria
Description: partial 16S ribosomal RNA
Rfam family: Bacterial small subunit ribosomal RNA
Source: RNAcentral